Molecule: non-coding RNA, 21 nt
Filed under: Arabidopsis thaliana (thale cress)
Lineage: Eukaryota; Viridiplantae; Streptophyta; Magnoliopsida; Brassicales; Brassicaceae
Source: RNAcentral
CUACUUGCCAUACGUAGAUCC